Molecule: long non-coding RNA, 190 nt
Organism: Dermacentor andersoni
Lineage: Eukaryota; Metazoa; Arthropoda; Arachnida; Ixodida; Ixodidae
Source: RefSeq, a predicted model, not a curated record
CGAUCGCCUUCAUACAAACGGAGAUGCGGGGAUGGGAGGGUGCAUCGAGGACCACCACGUGACGAAAACUUCACCAAAAUUUAUAAACACUACGAAGCUUCGGUGAAUACGUGUGACGCUGAACUCAGCCUCUUUUUCAACACGGAGCUGCCAUACUGCGAGCAGGCUGUCCGUGGAAUAAAUCACGAUG